CGCCCUUAGAGUUUGAUCAUGGCUCAGAUUGAACGCUGGCGGCAGGCUUAACACAUGCAAGUCGAGCGGUAGGAGAGCUUGCUCUCUACGAGCGGCGGACGGGUGAGUAAUGUCUGGGAAACUGCCUGAUGGAGGGGGAUAACUACUGGAAACGGUAGCUAAUACCGCAUAAUGUCGCAAGACCAAAGAGGUUCGUCUUGCCAUCAGAUGUGCCCAGAUGGGAUUAGCUAGUAGGUGGGGUAAUGGCUCACCUAGGCGACGAUCCCUAGCUGGUCUGAGAGGAUGACCAGCCACACUGGAACUGAGACACGGUCCAGACUCCUACGGGAGGC
Molecule: ribosomal RNA, 332 nt
Filed under: uncultured Serratia sp.
Lineage: Bacteria; Pseudomonadati; Pseudomonadota; Gammaproteobacteria; Enterobacterales; Yersiniaceae
Description: bacterial SSU rRNA
Rfam family: Bacterial small subunit ribosomal RNA
Source: RNAcentral